CAGCCGCCACGGUAAUGCGUAGGGAGCGAGCGUUGUCCGGAAUCAUUGGGCGUAAAGAGCUCGUAGGCGGCUUGGUAAGUCGGAUGUGAAACCUCCAGGCUCAACCUGGAGUCGCCAUCCGAUACUGCCAUAGCUAGAGUCCGGUAGGGGCCCACGGAACUCCUGGUGUAGCGGUGAAAUGCGCAGAUAUCAGGAAGAACACCGGUGGCGAAGGCGGUGGGCUGGGCCGGCACUGACGCUGAGGAGCGAAAGCGUGGGGAGCGAACAGGAUUAGAUACCCCUGUAGUCCCUGUCUCUUAUA
Molecule: ribosomal RNA, 301 nt
Filed under: uncultured bacterium
Lineage: Bacteria
Description: partial 16S ribosomal RNA
Rfam family: Bacterial small subunit ribosomal RNA
Source: RNAcentral